This 3149-nucleotide ribosomal RNA is filed under the name Streptomyces actuosus. Its description in RNAcentral is "23S ribosomal RNA". It matches the Rfam family "Bacterial large subunit ribosomal RNA". The record is from RNAcentral. Lineage: Bacteria; Bacillati; Actinomycetota; Actinomycetes; Kitasatosporales; Streptomycetaceae.
ACAGUGGACGCGAGCAUCUGUGGCCAAGUUUUUAAGGGCGCACGGUGGAUGCCUUGGCACCAGGAACCGAUGAAGGACGUGGGAGGCCGCGAUAGUCCCCGGGGAGUCGUCAACCAGGCUUUGAUCCGGGGGUUUCCGAAUGGGGAAACCCGGCAGUCGUCAUGGGCUGUCACCCACUGCUGAACACAUAGGCAGUGUGGAGGGAACGCGGGGAAGUGAAACAUCUCAGUACCCGCAGGAAGAGAAAACAACCGUGAUUCCGGGAGUAGUGGCGAGCGAAACCGGAUGAGGCCAAACCGUAUGCGUGUGAGACCCGGCAGGGGUUGCGCAUGCGGGGUUGUGGGAUCUCUCUUUUACAGUCUGCCGGCUGUGAGACGAGUCAGAAACCGUUGAUGUAGGCGAAGGACAUGCGAAAGGUCCGGCGUAGAGGGUAAGACCCCCGUAGUCGAAACGUCAGCGGCUCGUUUGAGAGACACCCAAGUAGCACGGGGCCCGAGAAAUCCCGUGUGAAUCUGGCGGGACCACCCGCUAAGCCUAAAUAUUCCCUGGUGACCGAUAGCGGAUAGUACCGUGAGGGAAUGGUGAAAAGUACCCCGGGAGGGGAGUGAAAUAGUACCUGAAACCGUGUGCCUACAAGCCGUGGGAGCGUCGGACAUCAGCUUGCUGGUGUCUCGUGACUGCGUGCCUUUUGAAGAAUGAGCCUGCGAGUUUGCGGUGUGUUGCGAGGUUAACCCGGGUGGGGUAGCCGUAGCGAAAGCGAGUCCGAAUAGGGCGAUUCAGUAGCACGCUCAAGACCCGAAGCGGAGUGAUCUAGCCAUGGGCAGGUUGAAGCGGAGGUAAGACUUCGUGGAGGACCGAACCCACCAGGGUUGAAAACCUGGGGGAUGACCUGUGGUUAGGGGUGAAAGGCCAAUCAAACUCCGUGAUAGCUGGUUCUCCCCGAAAUGCAUUUAGGUGCAGCGUCGUGUGUUUCUUGCCGGAGGUAGAGCACUGGAUAGGCGAUGGGCCCUACCGGGUUACUGACCUUAGCCAAACUCCGAAUGCCGGUAAGUGAGAGCGCGGCAGUGAGACUGUGGGGGAUAAGCUCCAUGGUCGAGAGGGAAACAGCCCAGAGCAUCGACUAAGGCCCCUAAGCGUACGCUAAGUGGGAAAGGAUGUGGAGUCGCACAGACAACCAGGAGGUUGGCUUAGAAGCAGCCACCCUUGAAAGAGUGCGUAAUAGCUCACUGGUCUAGUGAUUCCGCGCCGACAAUGUAGCGGGGCUCAAGCGUACCGCCGAAGUCGUGUCAUUGACACAUAUAGUCCCAACGGGUGUGUUGAUGGGUAGGGGAGCGUCGUCUGCCGGGUGAAGCAGCACCGGAAGGUAGUUGUGGACGGUUGACGAGUGAGAAUGCAGGCAUGAGUAGCGAUACAAACGUGAGAAACGUUUGCGCCGAUUGACUAAGGGUUCCUGGGUCAAGCUGAUCUGCCCAGGGUAAGUCGGGACCUAAGGCGAGGCCGACAGGCGUAGUCGAUGGAUAACCGGUUGAUAUUCCGGUACCCGCUGUGAAGCGUCAAACAUCGAAUCCAGUGAUGCUAAGCCCGUGAAGCAGCCCCUGAUCUCUUCGGAGUGAGGGGGAGUGGUGGAGCCGGUGACCCGAGCUGGUAGUAGGUGAGUGAUGGGGUGACGCAGGAAGGUAGUCCAUCCCGGGCGGUGGUUGUCCCGGGGUAAGGGUGUAGGACGGUGUGUAGGCAAAUCCGCACGCCAUAAGUCUGAGACCUGAUGCCGAGCCGAUUGUGGUGAAGUGGAUGAUCCUAUGCUGUCGAGAAAAGCCUCUAGCGAGUUUCAUGGCGGCCCGUACCCUAAACCGACUCAGGUGGUCAGGUAGAGAAUACCGAGGCGUUCGGGUGAACUAUGGUUAAGGAACUCGGCAAAAUGCCCCCGUAACUUCGGGAGAAGGGGGGCCAUUCCUGGUGACCGGCUUUGCGCCGUGAGCUGGGGGUGGCCGCAGAGACCAGCGAGAAGCGACUGUUUACUAAAAACACAGGUCCGUGCGAAGCCGUAAGGCGAUGUAUACGGACUGACGCCUGCCCGGUGCUGGAACGUUAAGGGGACCGGUUAGUGACCUUUCGGGGUUGCGAAGCUGAGAACUUAAGCGCCAGUAAACGGCGGUGGUAACUAUAACCAUCCUAAGGUAGCGAAAUUCCUUGUCGGGUAAGUUCCGACCUGCACGAAUGGCGUAACGACUUCUCGACUGUCUCAACCAUAGGCCCGGUGAAAUUGCACUACGAGUAAAGAUGCUCGUUUCGCGCAGCAGGACGGAAAGACCCCGGGACCUUUACUACAGUUUGAUAUUGGUGUUCGGUUCGGCUUGUGUAGGAUAGCUGGGAGACUGUGAAGCUCAUACGCCAGUAUGGGUGGAGUCGUCGUUGAAAUACCAGUCUGGUCGUGCUGGAUGUCUAACCUGGGUCCGUGAUCCGGAUCAGGGACAGUGUCUGAUGGGUAGUUUAACUGGGGCGGUUGCCUCCCAAAGGGUAACGGAGGCGCCCAAAGGUUCCCUCAGCCUGGUUGGCAAUCAGGUGUUGAGUGUAAGUGCACAAGGGAGCUUGACUGUGAGACCGACGGGUCGAGCAGGGACGAAAGUCGGGACUAGUGAUCCGGCGGUGGCUUGUGGAAGCGCCGUCGCUCAACGGAUAAAAGGUACCCCGGGGAUAACAGGCUGAUCUUCCCCAAGAGUCCAUAUCGACGGGAUGGUUUGGCACCUCGAUGUCGGCUCGUCGCAUCCUGGGGCUGGAGUCGGUCCCAAGGGUUGGGCUGUUCGCCCAUUAAAGCGGUACGCGAGCUGGGUUUAGAACGUCGUGAGACAGUUCGGUCCCUAUCCGCUGUGCGCGUAGGAGUCUUGAGAAGGGCUGUCCCUAGUACGAGAGGACCGGGACGGACGAACCUCUGGUGUGCCAGUUGUUCUGCCAAGGGCAUGGCUGGUUGGCUACGUUCGGGAGGGAUAACCGCUGAAAGCAUCUAAGCGGGAAGCCUGCUUCGAGAUGAGGACUCCCACCCACUUGAUGGGGUAAGGCUCCCAGUAGACGACUGGGUUGAUAGGCCGGAUCUGGAAGCACCGCAAGGUGUGGAGGUGACCGGUACUAAUAGGCCGAGGGCUUGUCCUCAGUUG